GAAGGUGGCCUGUGAGGGUUGCUGGAGGUAUCAGAAGUGCGAAUGCUGACAUAAGUAACGAUAAAGCGGGUGAAAAGCCCGCUCGCCGGAAGACCAAGGGUUCCUGUCCAACGUUAAUCGGGGCAGGGUGAGUCGACCCCUAAGGCGAGGCCGAAAGGCGUAGUCGAUGGGAAACGGGUUAAUAUUCCCGUACUUGGUGUUACUGCGAAGGGGGGACGGAGAAGGCUAUGUUGGCCGGGCGACGGUUGUCCCGGUUUAAGCGUGUAGGUGUGUGUUCCAGGUAAAUCCGGUUCACUUUAACACUGAGGCGUGAUGACGAGGCACUACGGUGCUGAAGCAACAAAUGCCCUGCUUCCAGGAAAAGCCUCUAAGCAUCAGGUAACAUCAAAUCGUACCCCAAACCGACACAGGUGGUCAGGUAGAGAAUACCAAGGCGCUUGAGAGAACUCGGGUGAAGGAACUAGGCAAAAUGGUGCCGUAACUUCGGGAGAAGGCACGCUGACACGUAGGUGAAGUGAUUUACUCAUGGAGCUGAAGUCAGUCGAAGAUACCAGCUGGCUGCAACUGUUUAUUAAAAACACAGCACUGUGCAAACACGAAAGUGGACGUAUACGGUGUGACGCCUGCCCGGUGCCGGAAGGUUAAUUGAUGGGGUCAGCGCAAGCGAAGCUCCUGAUCGAAGCCCCGGUAAACGGCGGCCGUAACUAUAACGGUCCUAAGGUAGCGAAAUUCCUUGUCGGGUAAGUUCCGACCUGCACGAAUGGCGUAAUGAUGGCCAGGCUGUCUCCACCCGAGACUCAGUGAAAUUGAACUCGCUGUGAAGAUGCAGUGUACCCGCGGCAAGACGGAAAGACCCCGUGAACCUUUACUAUAGCUUGACACUGAACAUUGAGCCUUGAUGUGUAGGAUAGGUGGGAGGCUUUGAAGUGUGGACGCCAGUCUGCAUGGAGCCGACCUUGAAAUACCACCCUUUAAUGUUUGAUGUUCUAACGUGGACCCGUGAUCCGGGUUGCGGACAGUGUCUGGUGGGUAGUUUGACUGGGGCGGUCUCCUCCUAAAGAGUAACGGAGGAGCACGAAGGUUGGCUAAUCCUGGUCGGACAUCAGGAGGUUAGUGCAAUGGCAUAAGCCAGCUUGACUGCGAGCGUGACGGCGCGAGCAGGUGCGAAAGCAGGUCAUAGUGAUCCGGUGGUUCUGAAUGGAAGGGCCAUCGCUCAACGGAUAAAAGGUACUCCGGGGAUAACAGGCUGAUACCGCCCAAGAGUUCAUAUCGACGGCGGUGUUUGGCACCUCGAUGUCGGCUCAUCACAUCCUGGGGCUGAAGUAGGUCCCAAGGGUAUGGCUGUUCGCCAUUUAAAGUGGUACGCGAGCUGGGUUUAGAACGUCGUGAGACAGUUCGGUCCCUAUCUGCCGUGGGCGCUGGAGAACUGAGGGGGGCUGCUCCUAGUACGAGAGGACCGGAGUGGACGCAUCACUGGUGUUCGGGUUGUCAUGCCAAUGGCACUGCCCGGUAGCUAAAUGCGGAAGAGAUAAGUGCUGAAAGCAUCUAAGCACGAAACUUGCCCCGA
RNAcentral lists this ribosomal RNA (1567 nucleotides) under Salmonella enterica subsp. enterica serovar Infantis. Its description in RNAcentral is "partial 23S ribosomal RNA". It matches the Rfam family "Bacterial large subunit ribosomal RNA", at positions 1252 to 2802 of the family's 2925-position model. The record is from RNAcentral. Lineage: Bacteria; Pseudomonadati; Pseudomonadota; Gammaproteobacteria; Enterobacterales; Enterobacteriaceae.